UCCCUGGUGGUCCAGUGGUUAGGACUCUGUGUCUUCACUGCCAAGGGCCCAGGUUCCAUUCCUGGUCAAGGAA
RNAcentral lists this transfer RNA (73 nucleotides) under Bos taurus (domestic cattle). It matches the Rfam family "tRNA". Rfam says of the family: Transfer RNA (tRNA) molecules are approximately 80 nucleotides in length. Their secondary structure includes four short double-helical elements and three loops (D, anti-codon, and T loops). Lineage: Eukaryota; Metazoa; Chordata; Mammalia; Artiodactyla; Bovidae. The record is from Rfam by way of RNAcentral. RNAcentral also lists the same sequence under 2 other names.